AGAGUUUGAUCAUGGCUCAGGAUAAACGCUGGCGGCGUGCUUCAGGCAUGCAAGUCGAACGGUCUUCCGACUUCGGUCGGAGGAUAGUGGCGAACGGGUGAGUAACACGUAAGUAACCUGCCCAGAAGUGGGGAACAACCGGCCGAAAGGCUGGCUAAUACCGCAUGUGAUGACACUUCCCUGGAGGUGUCAUUAAAGGCUUAGGUCGCUUCUGGAGGGGCUUGCGGCUGAUUAGCUAGUUGGUGGGGUAAUGGCCUACCAAGGCUACGAUCGGUAGCUGGUCUGAGAGGACGGACAGCCACACGGGGACUGAGAUACGGCCCCGACUCCUACGGGAGGCAGCAGCUAGGAAUCUUGGGAAUGGGCGAAAGCCUGACCCAGCAACGCCGCGUGGGCGAUGAAGGCCUUCGGGUCGUAAAGCCCUUUUGUGGGGGAAGAUUAUGACGGUACCCCACGAAUAAGCCACGGCUAACUACGUGCCAGCAGCCGCGGUAAUACGUAGGUGGCAAGCGUUGUCCGGAUUUACUGGGCGUAAAGGGCGUGCAGGCGGUUUGCUAAGUCUAGGGUGAAAGCUCCCGGCUUAACUGGGAGAGGUCCUUGGAUACUGGCAGACUUGAGGAGGGUAGAGGAGGGUGGAAUUCCCGGUGUAGUGGUGAUAUGCGUAGAUAUCGGGAGGAACACCAGUGGCGAAGGCGGCUCUCUGGGCCCUACCUGACGCUGAGACGCGAAAGCGUGGGGAGCGAACCGGAUUAGAUACCCCCGUAGUCC
This 768-nucleotide ribosomal RNA is filed under the name uncultured soil bacterium. Its description in RNAcentral is "bacterial SSU rRNA". It matches the Rfam family "Bacterial small subunit ribosomal RNA", at positions 8 to 796 of the family's 1533-position model. The record is from RNAcentral.